This 401-nucleotide ribosomal RNA is filed under the name uncultured eukaryote. RNAcentral describes it as "bacterial SSU rRNA". It matches the Rfam family "Eukaryotic small subunit ribosomal RNA", at positions 592 to 996 of the family's 1831-position model. The record is from RNAcentral.
CAAUAGCGUAUAUUAAAGUUGUUGCGGUUAAAAAGCUCGUAGUUGGAUUUCUGCCGAGGACGACCGGUCCGCCCUCUGGGUGAGUAUCUGGCUUGGCCUGGGCAUCUUCUUGGAGAACGUAGCUGCACUUGACUGUGUGGUGCGGUAUCCAGGACUUUUACUUUGAGGAAAUUAGAGUGUUUCAGGCAGGCUAGGCCGGAAUACAUUAGCAUGGAAUAAUGGAAUAGGACUACGGUCUCGUUGUUGGUUUGAGGGACUGGAGUAAUGAUUAAUAGGGAUAGUUGGGGGCGAUUAGUAUUUAACUUGUCAGAGGUGAAAUUACUUGGAUUUGUUUAAAGACGGACUACUGCGAAAGCAUCUGCCAUGGAUGUUUUCUAUUGAUCAAGAACGAAAGUUAGGGG